Molecule: long non-coding RNA, 2502 nt
Organism: Diabrotica virgifera virgifera (western corn rootworm)
Lineage: Eukaryota; Metazoa; Arthropoda; Insecta; Coleoptera; Chrysomelidae
Exons: 2
Source: RefSeq, a predicted model, not a curated record
CUAUAUCAUACUAAGAUGGAGAUAAUAUGAUCUUCGAUUGGGUAUCGAUAAACGUCGUAGAACGUUGUAAAUCGAUUCGUCUAUAUAUAAUUGUGAACUUCUUUCUCAAGAUUUGCAAUUAAAGAAAUAUCCUCCGUUAACCAUGUCCAGAUUUUUUGCUAUUGUUUUGUUUAACAUAAUUUUUCUGGGUACACAGGAUUGCUAAUACAUAUGCCAUACAAUAACAAAAGUUAACCAGUUUAACUAUCAGUUUAUCUAUACUGUGCAAUUCUCAGCUGAACUUAAAACUAAGAAUCACGUUCCUAAAAUGUUAUGUGUAUCCUGUAUUCUGUAUUACUAUAUAGAUGUGAAACCUGGAUCAUGGAGGUCAAUAUGAUGAACACAUUAGAAGCCUUGGAGAUGUUGUCAUAUCGUGGAAUGCUUAAAGUCUUAUGGGUUCUACGCAUUUCAAACAUAAAAGUCUUAAACAGAAUAGGUCAAGGCGAAGGUGACUUGACGAUGAUAAAAAAGAGAAAACUCAAAUACUUGGGCAUGUAAUGAGAGGUAGCAGAUACUGGAUGCCUAUUUCAGUUAAUGCUCAACGGAAAGAUCAAGGGAAAAAGAUGCAUUGGCAGGAAGAAAUAUUCAUGGCCCUGAAACCUUCGUCAAUGGACUGGCUUGUCAGCAGAUGAGUUGUUACUUGCUGCGCAAGAUCGAGAACAUCAUCAUCACCAUCAUUCAACCCGGAUCUAUCCACUGCUGGAUAUAGGUCUCCCUCAGUGUUCUCCAUGUAUUCCUGUUUUGUGCUGUUUCCAUCCAAUUUUUGCCGAUCCGUUUUAUGUCAUCAGACCAUCUGGUUGGCGGACGACCUCUACUUCGAUAUGUUUCUUGUCUUGGUCUCCAGUGUAUUAUUCGCUGUGUCCAUCUAUUAUCUGACAUUCUAGCUACGUGCUCCGCCCAGUUAAACUUAGGGGUUAUAAUUCUUUCUAUGGCAUCUACCCUAACAACACAAAACAUUCCAGGAAUGUACUACCAAAGUUCUAUCAAUAUUUGAAUGUCCUGGCCAUUCAGUGAACAUUCGGUGAACAUCUGAUUAAAUUAUUCCUGGAAUGUUACCAUAAGACAUUCUGUGAACAUACUACCAAUGUUCCUAUAUUUUAAGCUGUCAAAUAAUAAAUACUUAUGAUAACUACUAUUAAAUACUAACAGAUAUAACAUUACUUAUAACAGAAACUUGUGCAAAAACGAAGAGAGGCAUUUAUAAUUAUUCUUAAUUGCGUUCAUUUUCAAAUUCGCCGCGCGUGUAUUUGUCAGAAUUUGUGAACGGCGCUUAGAGAGGGCAUCACGUGACUAAAAACGACCAACGAGCACCGUGACCAACGUGGCUUCGCUUCGGCCAUCUUGCCGUGCGUGUGCGUGGUAAUGUUUGGUAAACGAAACGUGUAUGUUUUUUGUUGUUUGUUUUGUUUUGUAUUUGUGCUUGUAUAGUGCAUAAAAUGUUGUCUUGUUCUCAACGAAGUUGCAGUAGCAGAAGCAAUGUAUUCUGCAGGAAUAACGUUUCAUACUAGGUUAGUAUGCAAAUUAUGUAAACAAAGAAAUAACCCCUAUUUCAGAAAAUUCUUUUUGAGUUUUUGCUAAUGUAUGCGUUUAUAAACACGAUGGUAGACCACGCACUAUAAUAGUACCAACUACAUAUAAUGAAUACACAGAAUAUAAAGAUAUUGUCGGUCCGCUAAACUCAGAGUCCCAGUACCACUGAGUCUCAGACACAACUGGCUAGUGAUUUUAGUACAUAAUUUUGCAAAUUUUACCAAAAAAAAAAUUAUUACUAAAUAGUUAAUAAUUACUAAAUAGUUAGUAAUAGGGCUUUUCAUUCACAGUCAUUUGUUUCGAGCAUCUAUCAUAAUGUCUAAUAAUCAGUGUAUAUUAAUAUUAUACACAGAUUAUACAACAUAUGACAGGAGCUGGAAACAAAUGACAAUCGAUGAAAAGCCCUAUUUUGGCAAAAUUGGCCAAAAACAAAAAAAUUACCUACUAAAAUCACUAGGCAGUUGUGUCUGAGUUUAGCGAACCGACUAUAUUAAUAAACAAUUUCUAAGCUGUUUUACAAUAUUUUUGAGUUCAUUAAUCAUAUUUUUUAUUUAAAACAUAAAUUCGUUAAUAAUGCUUAGUAAUGCAUAUAUUUGUAUUUUUAGCUUUCCAGAAGAUCCUGCGAAGAAGGCGUGAAGUAUAGAUCAGAUUUGUUAAUAGAGGAGUAUGUUCAAAACAUUUUUUAGAAAAAGAUAUUGACAGAACUUCACUUUCAUCUGUUCAUUGAGAGACUGUGCUGUUCCAAUAGCUUAUGUCACACAGAAUCAGCUGAGAGAAGUGGUCUACAAAAAACCAGGAAGGAAACGGAAUAUGUGGCUACGAAAGGCAAAAGGUUUACAAAGCAAAUGUGACACAUUUUUUUAUAGGAAUAUCAGUAAAUUACAUUAAAAGAAUGUAUGAAAAGAUUUUGUGCAAUAAAAAUGUUUAUAUUUA